GUCCUUUGGGCCCAACCUCCCAUCCGUGUCUAUUGUACCCUGUUGCUUCGGCGGGCCCGCCGCUUGUCGGCCGCCGGGGGGGCGCCUCUGCCCCCCGGGCCCGUGCCCGCCGGAGACCCCAACACGAACACUGUCUGAAAGCGUGCAGUCUGAGUUGAUUGAAUGCAAUCAGUUAAAACUUUCAACAAUGGAUCUCUUGGUUCCGGCAUCGAUGAAGAACGCAGCGAAAUGCGAUAACUAAUGUGAAUUGCAGAAUUCAGUGAAUCAUCGAGUCUUUGAACGCACAUUGCGCCCCCUGGUAUUCCGGGGGGCAUGCCUGUCCGAGCGUCAUUGCUGCCCUCAAGCCCGGCUUGUGUGUUGGGUCGCCGUCCCCCUCUCCGGGGGGACGGGCCCGAAAGGCAGCGGCGGCACCGCGUCCGAUCCUCGAGCGUAUGGGGCUUUGUCACAUGCUCUGUAGGAUUGGCCGGCGCCUGCCGACGUUUUCCAACCAUUCUUUCCAGGUUGACCUCGGAUCAGGUAGGGAUACCCGCUGAACUUAAGCAUAUCA
This 547-nucleotide ribosomal RNA is filed under the name fungal sp. AM2013. RNAcentral's name for it is "eukaryotic LSU rRNA". The stretch from base 177 to 330 matches the Rfam family "5.8S ribosomal RNA". The record is from RNAcentral. Lineage: Eukaryota; Fungi.